CGUGCUGUGAGGAGUUGCUGCAGAUCCGCUGUGUAGUUUGUGCAGCCCGUUUCCCCUGCUGCCAGAAGUGUAACUUACGCCUGUCUUCAUGCUGGCAAAGGAGAAUGGAAGAAAGAAGAGCAAAUUCCUUCUUCUUCUGUCACACCGCCACCUCCACACACACAUUUGAAAUUGCCUAAGAUGGGAGAGGAGGAAGCAUUAUUGACUGAUGUGAAUAGUCAGUAAAUAAAACCUAAUCCGAAUUAAA
Molecule: long non-coding RNA, 247 nt
Organism: Tyto alba (common barn owl)
Lineage: Eukaryota; Metazoa; Chordata; Aves; Strigiformes; Tytonidae
Exons: 2
Source: RefSeq, a predicted model, not a curated record